Molecule: ribosomal RNA, 551 nt
Filed under: uncultured bacterium
Lineage: Bacteria
Description: bacterial SSU rRNA
Rfam family: Bacterial small subunit ribosomal RNA
Source: RNAcentral
UAGGGAAUCUUCGGCAAUGGACGGAAGUCUGACCGAGCAACGCCGCGUGAGUGAAGAAGGUUUUCGGAUCGUAAAGCUCUGUUGUAAGAGAAGAACGAGUGUGAGAGUGGAAAGUUCACACUGUGACGGUAACUUACCAGAAAGGGACGGCUAACUACGUGCCAGCAGCCGCGGUAAUACGUAGGUCCCGAGCGUUAUCCGGAUUUAUUGGGCGUAAAGCGAGCGCAGGCGGUUAGAUAAGUCUGAAGUUAAAGGCUGUGGCUUAACCAUAGUACGCUUUGGAAACUGUUUAACUUGAGUGCAGAAGGGGAGAGUGGAAUUCCAUGUGUAGCGGUGAAAUGCGUAGAUAUAUGGAGGAACACCGGUGGCGAAAGCGGCUCUCUGGUCUGUAACUGACGCUGAGGCUCGAAAGCGUGGGGAGCAAACAGGAUUAGAUACCCUGGUAGUCCACGCCGUAAACGAUGAGUGCUAGGUGUUGGGUCCUUUCCGGGACUCAGUGCCGCAGCUAACGCAUUAAGCACUCCGCCUGGGGAGUACGACCAGCAAGGUUG